This 278-nucleotide long non-coding RNA is filed under the name Vigna radiata. Its description in RNAcentral is "long non-coding RNA (VRAD_LNC004261)". The record is from RNAcentral. Lineage: Eukaryota; Viridiplantae; Streptophyta; Magnoliopsida; Fabales; Fabaceae.
CUUGAGAGAAAAGGAAAAAUUGUUCUUGAAAAACAAAGUGGCUGUAAACUUAGAAUGUCAAAGAGUUUUUAUUUUAUUAAUAUGGUCCAACCUAUCAUAUGUUGCCACAUAUUUUCUACUUAAGUGAUAUUUUUACGAGUCUUUAUAUAUAUAUAUAUAUAUUUAUUUAUUUAUUUAUUUAUUUAUUUAUUUUUUACUCUAUCUCAUCCACGUAUAAUAUAUCAUAUAUUCUAUCCUUACAAUUUUCAAAGUUAGACAUGAUAAAUUUGAAUAACUUC